UGAGUACGAGAUGCUACGGCAUCGAAGCAGUCUAUGUCAUACUUCCAAGAAAAGCUUGCACUGUCAUAAACAAAGAAUGCCUGUACCAUAACCGACACAGGUGGGUAGGUAGAGUAUACUAAGGGGCGCGAGAUAACUCUCUCUAAGGAACUCGGCAAAAUGACUCCGUAACUUCGGGAGAAGGAGUGCCUUAUUUCUAAGGUUGCAAUAACAAGAUCCAAGCAACUGUUUACCAAAAACACAGGUCUCCGCUAGGUCGUAAGACGAUGUAUGGGGGCUGACGCCUGCCCAGUGCCAGAAGGUUAAAGAAGUUGGUUAGCAUUAGCGAAGCUGAUAACUGAAGCCCUGGUGAACGGCGGCCGUAACAAUAACGGUCCUAAGGUAGCGAAAUUCCUUGUCGGGUAAGUUCCGACCCGCACGAAAGGCGUAAUGAUUUGGAUACUGUCUCGGAGAGGGGCUCGGUGAAAUAGACUUGUCUGUGAAGAUGCGGACUACCUGCACCUGGACAGAAAGACCCUAUGAAGCUUUACUGUAACUUGAGAUUGAAAUUGGACUUUAUUUGCGCAGUAUAGGUGGGAGGCGUUGAGAAUAAUCUUGCGGGAUUGUUGGAGCCAUCAGUGAGAUACCACUCUUGUAAUGUUAGAUUUCUAACUUUGUAUCAUUAUCUGGUCAAAGAACAGUUUCAGGCGGGCAGUUUGACUGGGGCGGUCGCCUCCCAAAGGGUAACGGAGGCGCACAAAGGUUUCCUCUGAACGGGUAGAAAUCGUAUCUAGAGUGUAAAGGCAUAAGGAAGCUUGACUGUGAGACCUACAAGUCGAGCAGGGACGAAAGUCGGUCUUAGUGAUCUGACGGUGCUGAGUGGAAAGGCCGUCACUCAACGGAUAAAAGUUACUCUAGGAUAACAGGCUGAUCUCCCCCAAGAGUUCACAUCGACGGGGAGGUUUGGCACCUCGAUGUCGGCUCAUCGCAUCCUGGGGCGGUAGUCCGUCCCAGGGGUUGGGCUGUUCGCCCAUGAAAGCGGUACGCGAGCUGGGUUCAGAACGUCGUGAGACAGUUCGGUCCAUAUCCGGUGUAGGCGUUAGAAUAUUGAGAGGAGCCUUCUCUAGUACGAGAGGACCGAGAAGGACAUACCUCUGGUGUACCAGUUAUCGUGCCAACGGUAAACGCUGGGUAGCUAUGUAUGGAGUGGAUAACCGCUGAAAGCAUCUAAGUGGGAAGCCCACCUCAAGAUAAGUAUUCCCAUGGCAGAAGCCAGUAAGGUCACGGGAAGAACACCCGUUGAUAGGCUCUACGUGGAAGCGCGGCAACGCGUGAAGCGGAGGAGUACU
RNAcentral lists this ribosomal RNA (1328 nucleotides) under metagenome. Its description in RNAcentral is "bacterial LSU rRNA". It matches the Rfam family "Bacterial large subunit ribosomal RNA", at positions 1564 to 2902 of the family's 2925-position model. The record is from RNAcentral.